CACAGCCAAGGAGGAAGGCCGGCGGGCCUGACCUGGGAAUGGAGGCACAACUUGCUGCAGGUCUCAGUAGGGAAGUCAGGACUGAGGGGGCCACAGGUACCCAGGAACAGGUGGGGCCUGGAGGCUGUGCUGAGCGCGUCCCUGCAAACGGCGUGAAAGGGAACACACCUGAGCGCGAAUCUGGGCUGAACUCUUCACCUCGCCACCUUUACAUCGCAUGCACCACAUUUCCAAGAUGCGAGGAUUUUCCUGAGUGUUUAUGCUUCUUCUACACAGUGCUUCUCUCCUUUGCUCACCAUAAUCCUGUCUCAAUGAACCAAGUUGACUCUCAUGCCCCAUUUUAUAGCGAGGUCUCUCCCACCAUGCUGGGGGCACUCUGGCUCAUUAGGGCCUGGAAAAGCCACAGGUUUAGGAGCAGCCAGAGCACAGGGGAUGCCUGCUCUGACACAACUUUGCAGCAAGAGCUUGCGAUGGGUUUCACUCUCCCUGAGACCAUGGUGCUGAAAGGACAGAACCAAGCUGCAUACGCUAAGAGUUCAGAACCACCAGGGGAAACUACAGCAAUGUUAAAACUGUGCCUGAACUCAUAUUCAGCCCACUGUGGGAAAAGGUUAAAUUCACAAAUUUUUUGCUGUUAUCAUUGAUAUGCAAACCAUGGUGAGAUUUUUCUUACUUUAAGCUCUGUAUCUGAAAUCUGGUGCCAAACUGUAUCAGUGCCUUAAUAUAGAUGGGAAGAAAGUUACAGAGAAAAGAAUAAUAGGUCUGGUGCUGGCUGUGGCUGUCAAGUUCUAUAAUUCUAUUGCAUCUCAGCUUCCUGGAGAAAUUGAAUUAAAAAGAUAAAUAGGAAUAUGAUGUAAAAUGUCAAUUGUCAUUCAAAGGCAAGCUCUCACCAGUCUUGAAUGCUCCCUGCCACCUGACAGCUCCUGGAAGGUGGGAGCCCAUUCAUCUUUGAUCCUUUCAUAAAGCCUCAGAUUUUGCUACCAAUAAAUCACGUGCCCCCUCCAAUGUUCAGCAUAGGAAGCUUAUUAAUCCAAUGCUAUUUCUGAGGGAUCAGGUGCUUUGAUCCUCUUAAAAUAUUUUCAGGAAUUCAAGACUCUAGGAUGACAGGCUAUUUGGAUGGAAAAUUGAAUGAUUUGUGUAGGUUUGCACCAGAGAACGAAAAUAAGAAAAAAAAUAUCUUCUUUUACAAUGGUUCGAUCUGGCAAUGUUUAGGCAAUCCGUGCAAGACAAAACAUAAACUUGGGAGCUCAAGGUGGUUCCUAUGAUUUGUAACUAAUGUGAACAAAAAUGAGCUCAAUAUAACCUGCUUACUAGUGAAAGUUCAACACCUCUGGACUUUGUGAAAAUUGUCUUGAGGUGCCAUUCAAUCUAGGUAAUUACUAAG
This 1384-nucleotide long non-coding RNA is filed under the name Heterocephalus glaber (naked mole-rat). Its description in RNAcentral is "lncRNA (ENSHGLG00100034794.1)". Lineage: Eukaryota; Metazoa; Chordata; Mammalia; Rodentia; Bathyergidae. The record is from RNAcentral.